Molecule: non-coding RNA, 94 nt
Organism: Cladorrhinum samala
Lineage: Eukaryota; Fungi; Ascomycota; Sordariomycetes; Sordariales; Podosporaceae
Source: the annotation of a GenBank genome assembly
GGUUGCGUGGCCCAGUGGUUAAGGCAUCUGCUUUACAGAACAUUAAACAGUUCACAAUCGCAGAGGAUCGCAGGUUCGAUCCCUGCCGCGAUCA